CAGCCGCCGCGGUAAAACCGAGGAUGCAAGCGUUAUCCGGAAUGAUUGGGCGUAAAGCGUGCGUAGGCGGCUUCUUAAGUCGGAUGUGAAAUCCCUGAGCUUAACUUAGGAAUUGCAUUCGAUACUGGGAAGCUAGAGUAUGGGAGAGGAUGGUAGAAUUCCAGGUGUAGCGGUGAAAUGCGUAGAGAUCUGGAGGAAUACCGAUGGCGAAGGCAGCCAUCUGGCCUAAUACUGACGCUGAGGUACGAAAGCAUGGGGAGCAAACAGGAUUAGAUACCCCUGUAGUCCCUGUCUCUUAUAC
RNAcentral lists this ribosomal RNA (301 nucleotides) under uncultured bacterium. RNAcentral's name for it is "partial 16S ribosomal RNA". It matches the Rfam family "Bacterial small subunit ribosomal RNA", at positions 509 to 807 of the family's 1533-position model. The record is from RNAcentral.